UGGACUCCAACUUGUUAAAAAACGAUCAAAUAAUUUACAGAACAAGCCAAGUGGAUCAAGCGAUGUAGAUUUGCAAGCAUCAAACAAGAAUUCUGUUUCAGAUAAGGUUUGUCUACUUAAAUACUCUUUAGAACUUGUCAUUAGUGAGCUUUAAGUUGUUGUGCUUGCACUUUUUGCAGUUGCAUACACAAUACCCAAAAUUUGAUGUGUAUCAUUUUUUCCUAGAACAAAGAAACUAUGGUUCAUAAUGGUGGCAGUGCACGGCAACUAGAAAAAUGUUCUGUUGCACACAAGGUAUCAUCAUAGUCCUAUAUACAAAAUAAUGAUCAAACUAUAGUGCUCCCAUUUGUAUGUGUUUACCUGUUGCUAUCAGAAUGUUGUCCAGAACCAAGAAACUUAUGAUCAUAAUUUCAGUGCUUUGCAAGGGGAAAUAAAUUCUGCUGCACAUAAGGUAUAUUUCCGUUACCAUAUACAAUAUGUUCAAAAUACAUUGCUCCGAUGGUUAUGUAUCUACUGGCCGUCUUGCUAUCAGAAUGCUGUUCAGAACAAAGAAACUUUGCUUGAGACUGUCAGUGCACGUUAGGGAGAAAAAACUUCUGCUGCAAACAAACUAGUAUCUUUUCAUAAUCACAUACACAUUUCUGUUCAAACUAUAAUGUUGGCUUGUUUAUUUGCUUAUUACUUCUUCUUUGCUAUCAGACUGUUGUCGAGACCAAAAAAAACAACAAAAAGGUGCUAAUGCAAGCACUAAGAGUGCUCAUUGUGGUUCCCUGAGCUGGUUGGGUGCUAGUGAAUUAUCUGUAAGAGUGCUCAUUCAUUUGUUUCUAUUUUUUUCAUAUGGUUACUUUGAUUUUCUCUAACAGCCAGGAACUAAAGUAUUCUUGAAGAGCCUAAAAACCCAUAACAGGGAUGUAGCUCUUGCUACAAUUGUAAGUUGUGAUCCUGAAUUUAACCUUGAUGGUGCUGAAAUUAGGAAUGAAUUCUGGGCGGUGCAUGUUGAUAUGGCACUUGUGAAAACUGAAUAUUUGGUGGGGAGUCGCGAAAACUGUAAUACUCUCGGUAAUGUAGAAAAAACAAAAAUUGCAUGGCCCUCAACCUUUGUACAUGACUAAUAUCUUGCCUCUGUUAUUACUUGCAUCAUGUCAAUGCAUUGUUUGUUAACAGUCCAUUUUGUUUUCUUUUUUUGUAGAUUCAAAAGAUAAAUGGAUGAGUAUAUGGGUGCGUGUCAAGUGUACUACAACGAUGAUGUUGAUGUUCUGCCUCAUGAUGGUGACAAUGAUGGAUGCUUCCAGUUUUAGUUAUGUUGUGGGGAUGACCUUCCUGUUGGAUGUCGUUCCUCGAUCAAGUUUUAGUUAAGUUGUAGGGAUGUUGAUGGAUUCUUUCAGUUAAAUUUCACUGUCAAGAAAAUAGUUAGAUUAUGCUUCACAUUUGGAUGAUGUUCCUUUUGUAAUAUCCACUAUUGUAAUCCAACAAUUUUAUCUCAUAUAUGAUAUAUGAUUUCUUCCUCUUG
This 1510-nucleotide long non-coding RNA is filed under the name Triticum aestivum (bread wheat). RNAcentral describes it as "long non-coding RNA (TAES_LNC026759)". The record is from RNAcentral. Lineage: Eukaryota; Viridiplantae; Streptophyta; Magnoliopsida; Poales; Poaceae.